This 398-nucleotide ribosomal RNA is filed under the name Massisteria sp. Its description in RNAcentral is "partial small subunit ribosomal RNA". It matches the Rfam family "Eukaryotic small subunit ribosomal RNA", at positions 582 to 975 of the family's 1831-position model. The record is from RNAcentral. Lineage: Eukaryota; Cercozoa; Massisteriidae.
AUUCCAGCUCCAGUAGCGUAUAUUAAAGUUGUUGCAGUUAAAAAGCUCGUAGUUGGAUUUCUGGCGUGGUGCGCCCGGUCCGCCGCCGCUAAGGCGGCGAGUACCGGUGCGCGCCUGCCAUCCUUCCGGAGAGUGUGCCUACCCUUCACUGGGCCGGGCACGCGAUCUGGAUCGUUUACUUUGAAAAAAUUAGAGUGUUUAAAGCAGGCUUACGCUUCUGAAUACAUUAGCAUGGAAUAAUAAGAUAGGACUUUGGUUCUAUUUUGUUGGUUUCUAGGACUAAAGUAAUGAUUGAUAGGGACAGUUGGGGGUGCUAGUAUUUAACGGCCAGAGGUGAAAUUCUUGGAUUCGUUAAAGACUAACUAAUGCGAAAGCAUUCACCAAGGAUGUCUUCAUCG